RNAcentral lists this ribosomal RNA (1517 nucleotides) under metagenome. Its description in RNAcentral is "bacterial SSU rRNA". It matches the Rfam family "Bacterial small subunit ribosomal RNA". The record is from RNAcentral.
AGAGUUUGAUCCUGGCUCAGAACGAACGCUGGCGGCGUGGAUGAGGCAUGCAAGUCGAACGGGAUCCAGCAGGUAGCAAUAUUUGCUGGUGAGAGUGGCGUAAGGGUGAGUAAUGCGUGGUAAUCUACCUCUAAGAUCGGCAUAGCCCGGCGAAAGCUGGGAUAAUUCCGAAUGUUGUCGGCCGGUGCAUACCGGCCUGUCCAAAGCUGGGGACCGCAAGGCCUGGCACUUGGAGAUGAGCCCACGUCCUAUCAGCUAGUUGGUGAGGUAACGGCUCACCAGGGCUUACGGGUAGCUGGUCUGAGAGGACGAUCAGCCACACUGGGACUGAGACACUGCCCAGACUCCUACGGGAGGCUGCAGUCGAGAAUCUUUCGCAAUGGGCGCAAGCCUGACGAAGCGACGCCGCGUGUAGGAUGAAGGCCUUCGGGUUGUAAACUACUGUCUUCGGGGAGCAACGGCCGGGACGUUAAUACCGUACCGGAUUGAUAGUACUCAAGGAGGAAGCCACGGCUAACUCUGUGCCAGCAGCCGCGGUAAUACAGAGGUGGCGAGCGUUGUUCGGAUUUACUGGGCGUAAAGGGUGCCUAGGCGGUUCUGCGUGUCGGAUGUGAAAUCUCACUGAAAACGGUGAAACUGCAUUCGAAACUGCAGGGCUAGAGUGCAGGAGAGGAUGGCGGAAUUCUCGGUGUAGCGGUGAAAUGCGUUGAUAUCGAGAGGAACGCCGGUGGCGAAGGCGGCCAUCUGGACUGCAACUGACGCUGAGGCACGAAAGCUAGGGGAGCAAACAGGAUUAGAUACCCUGGUAGUCCUAGCCGUAAACAGUGUGAACUUGGUGUGGGAGGAAUUAUCCCCUUCCGUGCCGUAGCUAACGCGAUAAGUUCACCGCCUGGGGAGUACGGCCGCAAGGCUAAAACUCAAAGGAAUUGACGGGGGCCCGCACAAGCGGUGGAGCAUGUGGCUUAAUUCGAUGCAACGCGAAGAACCUUACCUGGGCUUGACAUGUAACUGCAAAUCCGGUGAAAGCCGGACUCCUUCGAGGGUGUUACACAGGUGCUGCAUGGCUGUCGUCAGCUCGUGCCGUGAGGUGUUAGGUUAAGUCCUGCAACGAGCGCAACCCCUGUGAUUAGUUGCUAGUCGCGCAAGCGAAGCACUCUAGUCAGACUGCCUGUGAUAAGCAGGAGGAAGGUGGGGAUGACGUCAAGUCAGUAUGGUCCUUAUGCCCAGGGCUGCACACGUGCUACAAUGUAGGGUACAGAGGGACGCGAAUCCGCGAGGUGGAGCAAAUCCCAUAAAACCCUACUCAGUUCAGAUUGGAGUCUGCAACUCGACUCCAUGAAGCUGGAAUCGCUAGUAAUGGCGCAUCAGCUACGGCGCCGUGAAUACGUUCCCGGGCCUUGUACACACCGCCCGUCACAUCAUGAAAGCCGAUUGCACCCGAAGUCGCUGUUUCAACCCGCAAGGGGGAUAGGUGCCUAAGGUGUGGUUGGUGAUUGGGAUGAAGUCGGAACAAGGUA